CAGUAAGGAAUAUUGGUCAAUGGACGCAAGUCUGAACCAGCCAUGCCGCGUGGAGGAUGACGGUCCUCUGGAUUGUAAACUUCUUUUAUCUGGGACGAAACACUCCUAUUCUUAGGGGCCUGACGGUACCAGAUGAAUAAGCACCGGCUAACUCCGUGCCAGCAGCCGCGGUAAUACGGAGGGUGCAAGCGUUAUCCGGAUUCACUGGGUUUAAAGGGUGCGUAGGUGGGUAUGUAAGUCAGUGGUGAAAUCCCCGAGCUUAACUUGGGAACUGCCGUUGAUACUAUAUAUCUUGAAUGUCGUAGAGGUAAGCGGAAUAUGUCAUGUAGCGGUGAAAUGCUUAGAGAUGACAUAGAACACCAAUUGCGAAGGCAGCUUGCUAUGCGAUUAUUGACACUGAGGCACGAAAGCGUGGGUAGCAAACAGGAUUAGA
RNAcentral lists this ribosomal RNA (433 nucleotides) under uncultured bacterium. RNAcentral's name for it is "bacterial SSU rRNA". It matches the Rfam family "Bacterial small subunit ribosomal RNA", at positions 352 to 782 of the family's 1533-position model. The record is from RNAcentral.